Molecule: unclassified non-coding RNA, 331 nt
Filed under: soil metagenome
Description: partial contains 5.8S ribosomal RNA, internal transcribed spacer 2, and large subunit ribosomal RNA
Rfam family: 5.8S ribosomal RNA (bases 1-120)
Source: RNAcentral
GAUGAAGAACGCAGCAAAAUGCGAUAAGUAAUGUGAAUUGCAGAAUUCAGUGAAUCAUCGAAUCUUUGAACGCACAUUGCGCCCGCCAGUAUUCUGGCGGGCAUGCCUGUUCGAGCGUCAUUUCAACCCUCAAGCACAGCUUGGUGUUGGGACUCGCGUUAAUUCGCGUUCCCCAAAUUGAUUGGCGGUCACGUCGAGCUUCCAUAGCGUAGUAGUAAAACCCUCGUUACUGGUAAUCGUCGCGGCCACGCCGUUAAACCCCAACUUCUGAAUGUUGACUCGGAUCAGGUAGGAAUACCCGCUGAACUUAAGCAUAUCAAUAAGCGGAGGA